CUGGCACAAGGCAAAUGACGGAAUCAUCAGGGGCAGGCAUGACACGUGAGGGAAAUUGAGCGGUGGCGGCGGCGAGAAAUGAGGCCAUAUUGCGGCGCAUGAAUAGGAUGGUUAGGAUCUUGGUGGACGGGAGAAGAGCCCGCACUGACAUCCUUGCAGGUAACCACACGGGAGCGACUACAAUAGAAGAAGGGCCACCAGUGCAAAAAUAGAAAAAAUCUGUCUGGGUCAUUAGAUCCCGGCUGAAUGGUCCAGAUUCUAGUGGAUGGAUCUGAGCGCACAGGUGCUAGGUCCUUUGCAGAAAACACCCUUGAUUAUAGUCAUUUUGCUUUCAGUAUCAUCUUCUCCACCGUAGGAACGCAACAGAGCAGGCCCAAAUUCCCCAACCCGCGGCCACCGACUCUUGGACAAGCCCUGCCGACGGUGGCGGCGAGCCAGAUCCGGUGCCUAGCCGGGCGAUUGCGGCCAGUGGAGGUCUAGAUCCAGCACUCCGCCGUCUCGUCACGGGCAAUUGCGGCCAGUGGAGGUCUAGAUCCAGCACUCCGCCGUCUCGUCACGGGCGGUCUGGCUGCCCCGACGGAUCUCCCAUGUUUUAAGCUGCGGCAGGUUCUCCAAGGUACUCUGCUCCGAUUCCCGGAGGACAACCUCGCUCCAUCCUUUUUCUACACAAGCAGACCAUUCUCCACAUUGUUAGAAUAAAUUCGAGGCAUACCGUUGAUCAUCCGAGACCAAGCAAUCACACGAGCACGACAUCGAGAUUUGUUAACGAGGUUCACCGAUAUGGCUACAUCCCCGCGGCCUGACUAUGGGUGCUCCUCCCCAUGACACCGCUACAAUACAGCACCCGGUUGCCCUGGAUACCGACACAUGCCGCCGGCUUCCCCUGCGUUCUGGUGCUAUUAUGUUGUCAUAGGUUACAUCGUGUGUCUACCCCCGCUAUAUAUGAGAGGCCUAUGAUAUAAGUGUCCUAUUAGGACACGACCUCAUAUUCUAUCUAAACACAAUACUACUCAGAGUCCAACUGUAACCUACCUUGUACAUAAUAUUCGACACAAUCCUAACAAACUCCACCUUGACGAAUAUUCUCCACCACCUUGAAUUCGUCAAUGCGUCAAACUUCCAUGUACAUUGGACUUGAGUUUAUCCCAUGAGUACCGCUGCUACUCCAAAGACUCCAUAUGACUCCACCUGCAACUUGUAGUCCCUUCUUUUCUUGCCAUGGUCAACACUUGAGCAAAAUUAAGUUCUUUGUUACUCUAGUUUGUGCUCCCAACUUCCAAAGUAUCAGUCCAACGCCAUCACACACUGAUCAUUGACCUGCGUGAAAGUGAACAACUCACAUAUUGGGUGUCACACAUAAGAGUUACCUGAACUCAACAUCACCGCUCCUUUCUUGACCGUCUGUCUGAAACUUGAAGGAAUUUCACCGUUGCUUAUAGUCAUCCCGAGUCAAAUCCGCAGUUGUCUCACCACAUGUGUGACCACUAGAGCCCUGGCCCGUCUCCAUGUCCCGUGCAUACCACACACCUCGCCGCUAUUACCGCGUCGAGCCUCCGCUGUCCCGGUCGAGUCUCAAGGGUCGUGAACCCACACCACUCAACCCCACUGCAGAGUACCACCGAUCAUCAUCGACCGAUGACGAGUUUCAUGCUUCCAUCAGACCAUUGGGCUCCAGUCUGAAUUACAUGUCACUCGCUUUUUUCCAGCUGAAUAGGCUUCGACUCCCUGGAUCCUUACACCGUAGCCCUUCAAUCCAGCUCCACCUUCAACAUGACUCCAUGGUAGAUGAUCAAUCCACCCUCGCGCCCCGUCAACUUCAAGCUCCGUGUAUACAUCACCUUGAAUCAAACCCGCGCCAUAGUCUUGUCGAAGCCGCAGAAGCCUCGGGCAUAUGCACCACGUGUUUCCACGCCCAGAAGUCGGUCACCAUCAGCAUCACGCUCCUACGUCGUCUUCGCCGAUCCCACCACCGUCUUCUGUACCAACCGACCUGCGUCGAUCCGUCAGACCAUCUAGUCCAACCCAGCCAAACUUGUUCGACUGCAGACACAUUCCAGACUCCUCAAGUCGUCACCGUGACCAUCUCCAUCCAAACACAAAUGUGUACCAACAAAGAAAAACAAAGUGAAGUCCACAUAGCCUUCCCGUGUGAACACCAAAUCAGAUCAACAAAGCUAACUAGCUCAAACACCUGAUUCAUCACACGUGUGUAGCUGGCCUCUCCUUUUCUUUUCUUUUUCCAUGACAGCAUCACGAUCUGACUAAGCCCUUGUGCCGUAAUUUUUUUUGCCAAACAAAUCUCUAGUGCAUGCAACGCUCCAGUCCUGGCACAAUGCCAACUCUCCUGGAAUUCAGCUCCGCGCACGUGGCUUUCUUUGGGCCUUGCACAACCAGUUGCUGCUCCUGGGCCACUGCACACGUGUACCUCGUGGCUACACAAGGGCCUUGCCCACCAAGCACGCACACAACCAGCCCCACCUGGGCCAGCCAGCUACACCCUAGGCAUGCCCACGAGCCACCUCGGCUUUGCGCGUGCGUCCAACCCUUUGCCUGCAGCCCUGCACAUGCACCUUUCCGCUUGGAUCAAGCCGCCACGAACCCAGCAAACGCGGAUGCCGAUCUCGCCGAGUUCCCGAACAAAACGCUGGUUCCGAUUGCUCUUUCUAUCAAACACGAUGCUGUCUUCCACGAAUCUUAUAUCAGCAAACUCGAUCCACCGACACGAAAACUACCGCCGCCAUGCCUCCAAUCGUACACAUUGCAUCUUGCAAGAUCUCGCUGACAACUUCCACGUGUUCUCCUCUAGAUCAACGAUCAACAACCCGAGCAACCUAGCUUUGAUAACACUUGUUAGAAUAAAUUCGAGGCAUACCGUUGAUCAUCCGAGGACCAAGUAAUCACACGAGUACGACACCGAGAUUUGUUAACGAGGUUCACCGAUAUGGCUACAUCCCCGGGGCCUGACUAUGGGCGCUCCUCCCCAUGACACCGCUACAAUACCGCACCCGGUCGCCCUGGACACCGGCACAUGUCGCCGGCUUCCCCUGCGUUCCGGUGCUAUUAUGUUAGCAUAUGUUACAUCGUGUGUCUACCCCCGCUAUAUAUGAGAGGCCUAUGAUACAAGUGUCCUAUUAGGACACGACUCCAUAUCCUAUCUAAACACAAUACUACUCAGAGUCCAACUGUAACCUACCUUGUACAUAAUAUUCGACACAAUCUUAACACACAUGUCACCUGCACCUCUGCCCGUCUAGCUCCGCCAUCUAGGAACGCCUGAGAAGAAAACUACAGCUAGCCUUCUGGUAUGCUUGUCUGCCAGGUUGCUAUGAGUUUUCAUAGUUAAUUCUGCAGCUUUUCAUUUAGAAAAUAUUUUGUUCAACUAUCCAUAUCAUCUACACCAUAUUUUGGUCCUUCAUCCCUGAAAGUACUUUUGCUUUAAAAAAGUGUGCUUGGAGCAUAGUAGUAUGUUGUAUCGUUGUUGGAUGUUGUAUAAUUCUGCAUCUUUGGAAAUGAUACGAGUGACAACAUUUUGAAAAUUCUAAGCAUACACACAUUUAGUUUAGAUAACAUAUUUUUAUCGUUAGUAGCAGUAGCUUGGAAGCUUGGAAAUAUUUUUUGGGCAAAGGCUAUAUUCAGAAGUAUGCUUGAGUAGUACAGUAGCAAACCCACUAGUAUGUACACACUUCUCUAUACCAAAUUCAGUUAAUUUUGAGAGACUUUUAUCAAGUGUUGAUUAGCCAUAACAAAAAAACACAAUGUAUGCUUACUUCAAAAUUUGGACUGGCCAACUAGUUUGUGCUCAUCUGGGUUAUGCUUGCUUUCAACUUGAGAGCAAUAACAGGGAUAUCCCUCUGUAUGCUUGCCUGUGAGGUUGCAACCAAUUUUUUUAGUUGAUUAUGUAAUAUUUAUUUAGGGCGGCGAGGUGCAAUGCACGGCGAGGUCAGUGGCAGGCAAGUGCGGCCCGUGAGGGGUGGCGCCCCGCGCUGGAUGCGUGAGCAAGCGGUAAGCCGGUGAAGCGCCAUUGACGGUGUGGUGUGUGGAGGAGCUGACUCGGUUGGAUCGCAGCCGCGCGUAUGCACUGGAUCGAACGGCUGCGCAGGGACCGGCCCAAUUUGGGCUGGUCGACCGGCGCCUAUCACCCCCCAAUUAUUUUUGUUCAAUGUUUGUACUGCAAACUAUAGUGCAGAAUCUUAGUUUAGUAUGUAUUGAUACUUUCCUGUACCAGAUUCAGUUAAUUUAGACUUUAUUCGGUGUUGAUUAGCCAUAACAAGAAAACAUAAUGUUUGCUUACUUCAAAAUUUUGACUGGACAACUAGUUUAUGCUCAUCUUGGGAUAUGUUUGCUUUCAACGUGAGAGCAAUAACAGGGAUAUCUCUCUUAUCCAUGCAUACAAAAAUUAAUCACUGGACAAGUUUGCUAUAGUUUGCUUGUACUAGAUUUUCGAGCAGUUUUGUAUUGUGAAAUUUCAUCCUCUUGUCGGAUAUUGUACAUGAGAACAAACUAAUCUCAGCUACCUAUUGAAGUACCUGCAUGUGAAGUGGUUGGAGGCACAAGACUUCGUCACACUUGCAAUAUGUGCCACUUCACUGAUUUCGCUUUAGUGAAACAAUUGUAUUAGCUCUUUGGUCUUUCUCAUUCGGCUUUUAUGACACUACAAUUGUAAAAAGACAACUUUUUUACCUUUUGUAUGUAGAAAAGAAGACACUCUUUCUGUGUGUAUGUAGAAAAUAAGACAUUUUUUCUGUGUAUUUUUAAUUUCCAAAAGGGGCACUUGCUCUAGAAUAAACGGACACAGGAAUAGUGUGAGAAGUGAGUCCAGCGAGAAGAAAAGAAGACCUGGAAUUCAUCAAAAGACGCACACAAGUGCAUCAUUUGUAAGGGAGUGGUGUUCCAUGAUGCAAGGACAUGCUCUAAGAAACAAAUGACACAACAGUAAAGGUUUGUGCUUCUUGCUUUGAAGACUACCUGUUCUUUUUGUCUUGUUAUUACUGCACAAUACUAUAUGUUUUUAGACGAGUCAUAUUUGUUUGGUGUGAACCAAUCAAGCUUAAAUAAGAGUGAACUAAUCGAGCCAUGACCUAGUGGAGUAUCCAAUUUUUUUAUUAAACUCUUUCCAAUAAAAAGUAUUAUAACAGAAGAUGUUAUGUCGACGUACAUAUAUUGUUCCUGCUUCACAAUGUGAACAAUUGAAAUUGUUGCAUGUCCAUUAUUAGGGUAUCUUUUUGGUUUACUGGUCUGAACUUGUAGUGCUGCUGUCAGCAAAUAUGUGCGCAUUCAGUCCAUGUUAGGGCACAAGAUAUAAUUAGCAGGAAAUGUCUGUUGGGGGGAGCAAACGGCUGAUUGUUUUGACCUACGUGGGCUUUAUUUGGGAUAGACUUUCGGUUGCUAACAAGCCAAUGAUCCAUACAACAGUACAACCGGUCAUAAGCUAUUUGAGUUAAGAAAGUCUUAGUGGGAUGAUGAGCUGCAAAAAUUGAUACAAGUGAUUCUUCAUUGUCAAGCUGUGAAUAUAUUUGCCGUACAAUAUUCUUUUCCUUGUCUCUUCACUGGUCUGACAUGUGCCUUUGUGCUGCAGCAUCAAAUUUUUUACUUCUGUCAUCUACGAGUUAGCAAAAGUACUUGAAUUGCAUUCUUAAUUGUUCAAUACAUACGCGAUUAGGAUUAGAGAACAUAAUUUUCCUAUUUCUUUCCUUGUAAUGUAAACUAUUUUUUCCUUGUAUUUCUAGAUGCUCUCUCACAACCGGAAACAUCAGGACUACAGAUGGAUAGAAGAAGCUUUUAUCAAAAUCUUCCCUUUCUGACAAUUGAGAGAAUUUCUCUGCAAGAUAAAUUUAACUCUGUUCUUGAUCAUGCAUCUGUAUGUGUCUGUGCUCAACUGAAUUGGGUUUGCUUGGUGUGAUCUUUCCCAGAACAAGAAGCUUCAUGAGUAAGUAGUAGAACUGGAGGGAAAGGGUAGAGUUUUUCUGUUAUGUACCAUCAAGAUAUUAGUCUUUAAUACUGUCUUGCUGGCUAUGUACUAAAAAUGGUGCUACCAUGCCUCAUCAAGAUAUGUAUGCUUGUGAUAUGCUCAAUCUGGGAUGGUCCAGUCUGAUGUUUUGUUAUGCUUCAAAAGGUGACUGAAUCUGUGCCAUAAGCCGUCGUUGGACAAAAUGAAUGGAGAGGGAGAUAAAAUACAUGAGGGGGUUGCUGCAAAAGUUCCAUUUAUAACUAAUUGCUAGUAGGGGGUUUUUCGUAUAAAUGUACAUUAAGUGGCUGAGGAAUCUGUGCCAUCCACCUACGAUCCAAUGGCUCAUGGCUGUUUUCUAUUUUUUGCACCGGUGGCCCUUCUUCUAUUGUAGUCUUCCCCUAACCACACCCUACUUCGUCCAUCGUGUCCCUCCUUUGCUCAGAUGCAAGUGCGGUUCAUGCUGAACUCAACAUUUUUGCCUUCUGGCUUUGUUCUAGCUUCUCGUGGUCGUGGGCGGCGAGGUGGUGGCAACCGGAUGCUGCGAGAUGGGUGGAACUAGCUAAGGAAAUGGAUCCUGUCUGUCGACGAAUAUCUUUCGACAUGAAGAAUAAAUCUUAGACGUGCCUUUGCUUUGCUAGAGUUUUAUUUAAAAUAAAUGGUCACCAAACCAAUGCCAUGUUUUUAGUACAAUUUAUCAUUAUUGUAAGAAGGAUUUUAGUUUUAUCUGUUUCAUGUUUCUGGGUGAAAUGCAAUUUUAUAUACCUCUUGAAUUUUCUUUUCCUCGAAUAUGUCAUUUGUUUAUUGUGCAAGAGCAUAUGUCUGUUGGUGAUAGUUUAGAUGAUAAAAAUGCAGAGGAAAAAUUGAAAUAUUUCAUUGUAUAGUUGGCUUCCCUUGGUAAACCUAGUGUCGAUGUUUG
Molecule: long non-coding RNA, 6863 nt
Filed under: Triticum aestivum (bread wheat)
Lineage: Eukaryota; Viridiplantae; Streptophyta; Magnoliopsida; Poales; Poaceae
Description: long non-coding RNA (TAES_LNC005971)
Source: RNAcentral